Molecule: ribosomal RNA, 465 nt
Filed under: uncultured bacterium
Lineage: Bacteria
Description: partial 16S ribosomal RNA
Rfam family: Bacterial small subunit ribosomal RNA
Source: RNAcentral
GACGAACGCUGGCGGCGUGCUUAACACAUGCAAGUCGAACGGAAAGGCCCUGCUUGCAGGGUACUCGAGUGGCGAACGGGUGAGUAACACGUGGGUGAUCUGCCCUGCACUUCGGGAUAAGCCUGGGAAACUGGGUCUAAUACCGGCUAGGAGCCAUUUUUAGUGUGAUGGUUGGAAAGUUUUUUCGGUGUAGGAUGAGCUCGCGGCCUAUCAGCUUGUUGGGGGGGUAAUGGCCUACCAAGGCGGCGACGGGUAGCCGGCCUGAGAGGGUGGACGGCCACAUUGGGACUGAGAUACGGCCCAGACUCCUACGGGAGGCAGCAGGGGGGAAUAUUGCACAAUGGGCGCAAGCCUGAUGCAGCGACGCCGCGUGGGGGAUGACGGCCUUCGGGUUGUAAACUCCUUUCGCUAGGGACGAAGCUUUUUGUGACGGUACCUAGACAAGAAGCACCGGCUAACUACGUG